This 494-nucleotide ribosomal RNA is filed under the name uncultured bacterium. RNAcentral describes it as "partial 16S ribosomal RNA". It matches the Rfam family "Bacterial small subunit ribosomal RNA", at positions 28 to 507 of the family's 1533-position model. The record is from RNAcentral.
GACGAACGCUGGCGGCGUGCUUAACACAUGCAAGUCGAACGGUGAAGCGCCUUCCUUUUUGGUGGGUGUGGAUGAGUGGCGAACGGGUGAGUAACACGUGAGUAACCUGCCCCCUUCUUCUGGAUAACCGCAUGAAAGUGUGGCUAAUACGGGAUAUUCUGGUUCUGUCGCAUGAUGGGUCUGGGAAAGAUAUUGUUUCGGUGGGGGAUGGGCUCGCGGCCUAUGAGCUUGUUGGUGGGGUGAUGGCCUACCAAGGCGGUGACGGGUAGCCGGCCUGAGAGGGUGGACGGUCACACUGGGACUGAGACACGGCCCAGACUCCUACGGGAGGCAGCAGUGGGGAAUAUUGCACAAUGGGCGCAAGCCUGAUGCAGCGACGCCGCGUGAGGGAUGGAGGCCUUCGGGUUGUGAACCUCUUUCGCCAGUGAAGCAGGCCUGCCUCGUUUGUGGGUGGGUUGACGGUAGCUGGAGAAGAAGCGCCGGCUAACUACGUG